RNAcentral lists this long non-coding RNA (651 nucleotides) under Pelobates cultripes (western spadefoot toad). Lineage: Eukaryota; Metazoa; Chordata; Amphibia; Anura; Pelobatidae. The record is from RNAcentral.
GUGAACAUAUGUAACCUGCUACUGACAUGCUGUCAGCCAUUUUGCUGUUUAUUCAUCAUCUUAAAAUAUAAUCAAAGAAGAAUAUUUACUCUAAGAAAUAAGAAGAAACUAUGUUUUAUUGCUACAUUUUAUUAAUGGAUGUCUGGACAGUUUUUUGGAUUGCAAAAGGAAAAGUUAUUUUGAAAGCGUGUCUUGUCAGAUGUUGCCAGGGGGGGAAAGGUGAAAUGUGUGCUAAAGUUGUGAAAGAGGAAGUCAGGUUUAUAUGUGUUAACUCUUAUCAUAGACAAGCGAUAUUUUAGCGAAGUAAGACGCAUGACUGUGGUCAAGUUAUCUGUUAGAAAGAUCAUGGGAUGCUUAAACUUUUGAACCUUAAAUUUGUCAGUUAUGCUAGAAUUUAGCCAAUAGGAAAUAAGACCAUAUUUGGAGUUCUGAUUCAAGCUAAACGAAAGGCCAGUUCCGGGUCAUAUGUAUAAAAUAUGAGGAAUUGUAACAUGAUGUUAGAUUGCUUCUUGCCAAUCUCCAUGAGAUAUCUCUGUGUAUUGUAAUGGUCAAUUAAACGCUUUUUAUUGAACCUGGUAAUAUUUUUGUCUACUUCCACAGUUGGGGGCUCGUCCGGGAUCAGAAUACCACAGACACCAGCGGAACACCUGC